Molecule: ribosomal RNA, 593 nt
Filed under: uncultured bacterium
Lineage: Bacteria
Description: bacterial SSU rRNA
Rfam family: Bacterial small subunit ribosomal RNA
Source: RNAcentral
ACUCAAAGGAAUUGACGGGGGCCCGCACAAGCGGAGGAACAUGUGGUUUAAUUCGAUGAUACGCGAGGAACCUUACCCGGGUUUAAAUGUGAAAAGUCAGAUAUGGAAACAUAUUUUCUCUUCGGAGCUUUUUUCAAGGUGCUGCAUGGUUGUCGUCAGCUCGUGCCGUGAGGUGUCGGGUUAAGUCCCAUAACGAGCGCAACCCUUACCGUUAGUUGCCAUCAUUAAGUUGGGCACUCUAUCGGGACUGCCACCGUAAGGUGAGAGGAAGGCGGGGAUGACGUCAAAUCAGCACGGCCCUUACACCCGGGGCUACACACGUGUUACAAUGGCCGGUACAGAGGGUCGCUACCUGGUGACAGGAUGCCAAUCUCAAAAUCCGGUCUUAGUUCGGAUUGGAGUCUGUAACCCGACUCCAUGAAGUUGGAUUCGCUAGUAAUCGCGCAUCAGCCAUGGCGCGGUGAAUACGUUCCCGGGCCUUGUACACACCGCCCGUCAAGCCAUGGAAGCCGGGGGUGCCUGAAGUCCGUAACCGCGAGGAUCGGCCUAGGGCAAAACUGGUAACUGGGGCUAAGUCGUAACAAGGUAACCGU